This 72-nucleotide transfer RNA is filed under the name Camelus ferus (Wild Bactrian camel). It matches the Rfam family "tRNA". Rfam says of the family: Transfer RNA (tRNA) molecules are approximately 80 nucleotides in length. Their secondary structure includes four short double-helical elements and three loops (D, anti-codon, and T loops). The record is from Rfam by way of RNAcentral. Lineage: Eukaryota; Metazoa; Chordata; Mammalia; Artiodactyla; Camelidae.
GAGGGUGUAGUUCAGUGUUAGAGUGCGUGCCUAGCAUGCAUGAGGCCCUGGGUUCAAUCCCCAGUACUGCCA